RNAcentral lists this small nucleolar RNA (81 nucleotides) under Carlito syrichta (Philippine tarsier). RNAcentral describes it as "Small nucleolar RNA SNORD115 (ENSTSYG00000031773.1)". It matches the Rfam family "Small nucleolar RNA SNORD115". From Rfam's summary of the family: HBII-52 is a member of the C/D class of snoRNAs, which contain the C (UGAUGA) and D (CUGA) box motifs. HBII-52 is encoded in a tandemly repeated array with another C/D snoRNA, HBII-85, in the Prader-Willi syndrome (PWS) region of chromosome 15. The record is from Rfam by way of RNAcentral. Lineage: Eukaryota; Metazoa; Chordata; Mammalia; Primates; Tarsiidae.
GGGUCUUUGAUGAGAACUUUAUAUUGUCUUAAAGAGAGGUGAUGACAUAAAAAUUGUGCUCAAUAGUAUUAUGCUGAGCCC